CAAUAGCGUAUAUUAAAGUUGUUGCAGUUAAAAAGCUCGGAGUUGGAUUUCUGGUGGGAGCGAUCGGUCUGGCGCUUAGCGCGAGUACUUGCAUCGUCUCCGGCCAUCCUUGGGGAGAGUCUGUCUGGCAUUAAGUUGUCGGGCAGAGGAUCCUCAUCGUUUACUGUGAAAAAAUUAGAGUGUUCAAAGCAGGCUUAUGCCGUUGAAUAUAUUAGCAUGGAAUAAUAAGAUAGGACUUUGGUACUAUUUUGUUGGUUUGCGCACCAAAGUAAUGAUUAAUAGGGACAGUUGGGGGUAUUCGUAUUCCGUUGUCAGAGGUGAAAUUCUUGGAUUUACGGAAGACGAACUACUGCGAAAGCAUUUACCAAGGAUGUUUUCAUUAA
This 383-nucleotide ribosomal RNA is filed under the name uncultured eukaryote. Its description in RNAcentral is "partial 18S ribosomal RNA". It matches the Rfam family "Eukaryotic small subunit ribosomal RNA", at positions 592 to 976 of the family's 1831-position model. The record is from RNAcentral.